This 1456-nucleotide long non-coding RNA is filed under the name Mus musculus (house mouse). Its description in RNAcentral is "long non-coding RNA chr4:7172622-7174078". The record is from RNAcentral. Lineage: Eukaryota; Metazoa; Chordata; Mammalia; Rodentia; Muridae.
GAAGGGGAGAGAUCUGAUUGUAUUCUCUAUGCCUUGAUAAUACAGUUAGUGCCGAUAAGACCUUGAGACAAUCUUGCCCUUCAGAAAAUGAGUGUUUGUGGUGGGUGUGGGUGAGCCAGAGGAGCCCUGUGAUGCAAUGUGGCUAAGAUCAUCUCUCUAGCCCAUUUCCUUUAGAGUUUACUGAACCUAUCCUUUCCCCCCACAAGAUGCUCAUUUCUAGUUUUAUUUUUUAUAACGUUAAUGUACUUUGCUUUUCCCAUACAUUAACUACCUUCAUAAAAUGUUGAUAAAGUUGUUCCCCUUGCCCCACCAGCAGACUGACAGCUGUAUAACUCUCAUCUUAUGCUUGCCCAGUGGUACCAUUUGUGCAACGUAUCUUCUGGAAGUCUCUCAUUCUAUUUGAAGAGACCAGCUGUAAAGGCAAGAUGGUAAAUCCAUUUUCGUGCCAGUUCAUCUUUGGCUUCUCUCCAGAUUUCUAAUAUUUAGGGCUUGAUUUUGCUGGCUGCCUUCUUCGUGGAUGCACAGAGCUCCCAUUGACUUCAUUAUGAUAAGCAGAGUGAUGAUAAACUCAAAUGGUAAACAGAAGGGUUCUUCACUUCAAUGGAAAUUCUCUGCGUGUGAAGAGAUAUUGUCCAGUAAAAAAAUCAUCCAAUUUCAUAUUAAAUAAAUAAACACAAUGGUAUCUGGAAUGACAACUUGGAGUCAUUUGACAUAUGUCUAAGAUAGCAUGACAACCAGAGAUUCCACUCUCAUCAUUACGAAAUUACUGUCUGAUAAACAGACUUGAUUUCUUCACUCCUCUUAAAGAAGAGUCCUAGAUGCUCCAUCCUCCUGCUGUCAUGAAUCUUUCUGAAGAUGUGCAUAAAUAUACUGCUUUUCUUGUAAAGAUGGGCCCACCAAUAAGGCCCAUCAAAGCAAGUGAACUAUAAUAUUUUUAAUAUUUGAUAUUUUUCAUUGGUUCAAAUUUGCAUGGCCAACAAUCAAUCUGGUGUUUAGUUUCCUCCUGAGUUUCCACUGUUGCAAACUGACACAGGGAGGAUGGUGGUGGUGCUGGGUUAAGAAUUUAAGGUGCUAACUGACUAAUGUAGGCAAGCAUAAUUAAUCAUGUCAGAAAUCUUUGCAUGCAGUUUAAUUGGUUUGCAUUAUCUAUAAGAUAGUGUUUUCAUAAAAUAACAAAAUGGUUUCUGCUAAAACUGCUAAUUUAUUGCCUUCAAAAUAAGAGGCACCCAAAUGGGAAUCCAGAAGGAGUAAAACCCCCAUGCUCCUCAAAAUGAGAGCAUUUCAGAUAAAAUAGUGCUGUGUGUUUUUUUUUCAUAUGAAGACUGUUGAUUAAUAAACUUAGCUUACCUUUGGUGGCAUAAGCAAAAUGUUUCCAUUAAUUCUAUUUGUUGAAAUGAAUUUGUUUUUGGUAAAGCUUUUUGGGUUAAGUUUUUUUUUUUCCCAAUUGAGAGAAAAA